GCGGAAGUGCUGGAAUUGGCAGACAGGCUAGACUAAGGAUCUAGUGUUGGCGACGACGUGAGGGUUCAAGUCCCUUCUUCCGCA
This 84-nucleotide transfer RNA is filed under the name Lachnospiraceae bacterium. RNAcentral's name for it is "tRNA-Leu". It matches the Rfam family "tRNA". Rfam says of the family: Transfer RNA (tRNA) molecules are approximately 80 nucleotides in length. Their secondary structure includes four short double-helical elements and three loops (D, anti-codon, and T loops). The record is from RNAcentral. RNAcentral also lists the same sequence under 2 other names. Lineage: Bacteria; Bacillati; Bacillota; Clostridia; Lachnospirales; Lachnospiraceae.